AUUGAACGCUGGCGGCAGGCCUAACACAUGCAAGUCGAACGAGUGGCGGACGGGUGAGUAAUGUCUGGGAAACUGCCCGAUGGAGGGGGAUAACUACUGGCAACGGUAGCUACUACCGCAUACCAUCAGAUGUGCCCAGAUGGGAUUAGCUUGUUGGUGGGGUAACGGCUCACCAAGGCGACGAUCCCUAGCUGGUCUGAGAGGAUGACCCGCCACACUGGAACUGAGACACGGUCCAGACGCCUACGGGAGGCAGCAGUGGGGAAUAUUGCACAAUGGGCGUAAGCCUGAUGCAGCCAUGCCGCGGGGAUGAAGAAGGCCGUCGGGGUGGAAAGUACUUUCAGCGGGGAGGCGUUACUCGCAGAAGAAGCACCGGCUAACUCCGUGCCAGCAGCCGCGGUAAUAC
This 406-nucleotide ribosomal RNA is filed under the name uncultured bacterium. RNAcentral's name for it is "partial 16S ribosomal RNA". It matches the Rfam family "Bacterial small subunit ribosomal RNA", at positions 29 to 526 of the family's 1533-position model. The record is from RNAcentral.